AGCUGCGGAACGUUUUGCCUGCAGGCUCCAUCGAAGGGCAUCUCGGAUGGCUAAUAAUUUCAGACAUACACCCGGCUUGGUCACCUGUGACAAAGACUUCUAGCCAUGGACGACUCCACCUUUUUAUUACAGAGUCUCAACAUCUGUUAUUGUCAACUGGCUAGCAAAUUCAACAUUGAAGACACUUUAUGGCUUUGAGGUUCCAUAAAAGAUAAACUUUAUUGAAUACGCAUCUCAGUACUGAAGAAGCAAAAUCAAAUCUAAGUUUCCUGCGCAAAAAUCUGAUGGAGAGCGAGUAUGCACUUCCCGAGCCAUUCGGCAAAUCUCACACCAGCCACAGAGGCACAUCGACAGCGCAUCCCUCAAAACGGUGCCCUGCAAUGCUCAAGCCAAGGAGAUUGUGUCAGAUUUACUCGUUUGGGCAUUAUGCCCUCACAUACCAGAAGCUGCAUGACUCAGCCUGAUGCUCCCUGUUCAGUUUCGGUAGGAGAUGAAACAGGAAAUCCCCUCUCAGCCCCCUAUGAAUUUCGGACAGAUGAUGAAAAAUAUCAGGGUCCCGCUCUGACUCUGCUCUCACUGCUCUGCUAUUAGAGCUCCGGGAGCCAGCAUAGAAACCACAGCAGAGAGGCUGGAAAGGAGACAGCUCACUUGAUCAUGGAGAUCUUCGCAAAGUGGGUAUCCAUAGGCCCAGUGCCUGUUAGGUCCUGGGGAGGGGGGAGGGGAAAUAGGCAGGGGAAAUGUUGCAGUGUCUCUGUGGUCAGUUGUAAGGAUGAAUGACUGCAGUGGUGCUGCAACAUUCAUAACUUUAGGACUGUGUCAUAAGUUCUUAUGGGAGUGAUGUAACUUUGAACCAUCACUAAGUGAACUGUCAUAAUUCAAUGAUUACCUGUGAAGGAUGACUGAGAAAAAAAUGGAAGGAGGCAAUCCAACAUUGAACAGACAGUCAGGCAAGGAUGUGGGAGAUUCCCUUGACUGUUUGAUGCAUUUAUGGCUAAAUGUAUAAGGAAUAAUGGUGAUAUCAGAGAAAUGCAGUGUGGAAGUGUGAAUCUGCACGAACAUUUGCAUGCAGAUGAUACUGUAUUUGUGGCUGAGAACUGAAAAAUUUGCAAGAAACUUUAGACAGUAUGAUCUAAUAAUUAAGGUACCAAAACCUUAUAUUUGACAAAGUAAACUGGGUGUGAACAACUUUAAGUGGCAAAAAAGGGAACAAUUUGUGCCCCUAAAGGUGUAAGAAGCAUAACAUUUAAGAAGUACCAGUGGAAAGGUAAUGGAUACAUGUGACUUUUAAAGGAAUGUUUGUUGAAAAAAAUAAAAAAGGUGGCUGUUUGCAAGUAUUUUUCUAUCCAUUUUGUUACUAUAUUAAGAAAUGAGAGCUAGGCAUGCUAAGAGAAACAUAAAAAGUUGAAUGAGAGCAAAAAGAUGAUAAAUGAGGGCUAAAUAUAGAAGUGACUGACAGAAAAUAUAUAUUUUGGGGCAGCUUGGUCAUACAUGGUAGAUAAAAUGAAUGAAAACUGAAUUGCAAAAUAAAUUCAUGAAGGAGGAGUGAAUGGAUUGUGAGGAAAGGGAAGACUGAGCAAGGUAUGUUCGGAUGCUGUUUUGAAAUACUCAAAAAAGAUGUCCAUGGAGAUUCUCAGUCAUCCACGUCAUGGUUGUCCCAAAGCUGCUUUUUUCAAAAGGCAAUUAGACUUUGUUUUAUUCCUUGAAGACGUUUCGCUUCUCAUCCAAGACACUUCAAUCAGAACUGAAGAAAUGAAAUGUCUUCAAGGAAAAAUGAAGGUCCAAUUCCCUUUUUAAAAAGCACCUUUGGGUCCUCAAAAAAGAAAAGUCCAAAAUUUUAAUGAUGAAAGAACAACGUACAAAAUGAUAGAUGGACAUGAUGGAAAAAAAGGACAGUUUGCAAGAGGCCAAAACAGAAAGGAACAGCAGCAACAAUUUAUCUGCUUCUGGGUAAAUGGUAAAAUUAUUGUUGAAUAUAAUUCAAGUUUGCUUGAGAAGAGGAGGAGGAAGAAGCAUUCAUCUUGGAUGUCAUGCCAAAUUCCUGCUAGGGUGGGAUACUGUCAGAUCCCCAAACCCCUCGCCUCUUUUCUUUUGCCUUCUCUUCUUUUGGGGCCUGCCAUUCUGUUGGGGGAGGGGGUGCAUGGGGGGAAUAUGUUGGUAACUUUCCUUUUCCUCUUUCUUGGUCUGGCCUCCUUCUCCUGAGUAUGGAAUGCUUCUCCUUAUAUAGGAGAAAAUUGCAAGGAAAGAAAGCUGGAGAAGACCUUGAGUUGCGUGCAAAUCAGCUGCUCACCAGGCCAUCUGUGGAUUGGCUGGAGUUCAAACGGACAUUAUGACUUUGGCGGGAGGGGGGCAUAUUGCUUGCUUUAAUUAUAUCAUUCAUGCAGGCUUUUCUUCAGAUCUCGCAUUACAUUCCCUGCUAUGACUAGUCCCUAAUAAAAGUUCCUUUUGAGACAA
Crotalus tigris (Tiger rattlesnake) is the source of this 2451-nucleotide long non-coding RNA. RefSeq lists it as uncharacterized. The transcript is spliced from 5 exons. The record is from RefSeq and is a predicted model, not a curated record. Lineage: Eukaryota; Metazoa; Chordata; Lepidosauria; Squamata; Viperidae.